GACGAACGCUGGCGGCGUGCCUAAUACAUGCAAGUUGAGCGAUGAAGCUUGGUGCUUGCACCAAUUUGAAGAGCAGCGAACGGGUGAGUAACGCGUGGGGAAUCUGCCUUUGAGCGGGGGACAACAUUUGGAAACGAAUGCUAAUACCGCAUAACAACUUUAAACAUAAGUUUUAAGUUUGAAAGAUGCAAUUGCAUCACUCAAAGAUGAUCCCGCGUUGUAUUAGCUAGUUGGUGAGGUAAAGGCUCACCAAGGCGAUGAUACAUAGCCGACCUGAGAGGGUGGUCGGCCACAUUGGGACUGAGACACGGCCCAAACUCCUACGGGAGGCAGCAGUAGGGAAUCUUCGGCAAUGGACGGAAGUCUGACCGAGCAACGCCGCGUGAGUGAAGAAGGUUUUCGGAUCGGAAAACUCUGUUGGUAGAGAAGAACGUUGGUGAGGGUGGAAAGCUCAUCAAGUGACGGUAACUACCCAGAAAGGGACGGCUAACUACGUG
This 497-nucleotide ribosomal RNA is filed under the name uncultured bacterium. RNAcentral describes it as "partial 16S ribosomal RNA". It matches the Rfam family "Bacterial small subunit ribosomal RNA", at positions 28 to 507 of the family's 1533-position model. The record is from RNAcentral.